This 233-nucleotide ribosomal RNA is filed under the name uncultured bacterium. RNAcentral's name for it is "partial 16S ribosomal RNA". It matches the Rfam family "Bacterial small subunit ribosomal RNA", at positions 15 to 237 of the family's 1533-position model. The record is from RNAcentral.
AAUCCUGGCUCAGGAUGAACGUUAGCUACAGGCUUAACACAUGCAAGUCGAGGGGCAGCAUGGUCUUAGCUUGCUAAGGCUGAUGGCGACCGGCGCACGGGUGAGUAACACGUAUCCAACCUGCCGUCUACUCUUGGCCAGCCUUCUGAAAGGAAGAUUAAUCCAGGAUGGGAUCAUGAGUUCACAUGUCCGCAUGAUUAAAGGUAUUUUCCGGUAGACGAUGGGGAUGCGUU